GACGAACGCUGGCGGCGUGCUUAACACAUGCAAGUCGAACGGAAAGGCCCUGCUUUUGUGGGGUGCUCGAGUGGCGAACGGGUGAGUAACACGUGAGUAACCUGCCCUUGACUUUGGGAUAACUUCAGGAAACUGGGGCUAAUACCGGAUAGGAGCUCCUGCUGCAUGGUGGGGGUUGGAAAGUUUCGGCGGUUGGGGAUGGACUCGCGGCUUAUCAGCUUGUUGGUGGGGUAGUGGCUUACCAAGGCUUUGACGGGUAGCCGGCCUGAGAGGGUGACCGGCCACAUUGGGACUGAGAUACGGCCCAGACUCCUACGGGAGGCAGCAGUGGGGAAUAUUGCACAAUGGGCAGAAGCCUGAUGCAGCAACGCCGCGUGCGGGAUGGCGGCCUUCGGGUUGUAAACCGCUUUCGCCUGUGACGAAGCGUGAGUGACGGUAAUGGGUAAAGAAGCACCGGCUAACUACGUG
This 468-nucleotide ribosomal RNA is filed under the name uncultured bacterium. Its description in RNAcentral is "partial 16S ribosomal RNA". It matches the Rfam family "Bacterial small subunit ribosomal RNA", at positions 28 to 507 of the family's 1533-position model. The record is from RNAcentral.